CACGGCCCAUUACCACCACAACGGCAACCACUAUUGACUAUGACAUCGACGUCGACGUCAACAUGCAUGACCCACACAAUGUGUUUGGCGAAAUGCCCUCAAGGUUUGUAAAUUUUAUUUUCUCUCUUUUGUUGUUGCUUUACAUAAUGCAAAGUGACGGUGAUUUUUUUUGUGAUUAUAGUUUUAUGCGUUUCAGCGAUUGUAGGCAUAAAUUGGUGUAGUUUUCUUUAGCAACACAUUUGUGUACAUGCAAUCCAUCAACAUAGAUGUUAUCUCCUUGUCCAACCAUUCUUGUUGAUAAAGAUGUCGUUGAGGUUAUCCCUAAUCCUUGUACAAGACAAAAUGGGUAAGGUGAGGUACGAGGGGAACUAGACCGACGGCAGCUAGUGAUCCCCCCUCGAUCGCUUGCGAGAGCGACGAGGGAGGGGAUGGGAAGGGGCUUUCCUUAGUGCCAGGUGGCCAGCUUCUACACUCCCUGACUCGAGGCAUCAUCUCUAGUUUGACACUGAGUAAGUCAAUGAGGAAGAUGAGGAGCAUGACCAAAGUACCACUUAAAGCUCAAUGACGCCCACCAAAAGAAGCCUCUGGGGAGGAAGAAAGAAAACGAAAGGUGAAGAAAGAAGGAUAUGGUGUUGCGUUCCAUACCACAGUCUAAGAGAUGAUUGCACAAAGAGGGAGAUGUGCUGGGAGGAAUCAAGACAAGGUAUUAAAGUGGUUGGAGGUCAAGGCCAUGGUGGAGCAUAAGAUGGCGUAUGAGGAGCGUAAGGUGGCGAUAGAAGAGAAGAGGUUGAGGAACCUGGGAGAGAAGGUGUUUGCGAAGAAUAUGCAGCAAGAAUACAAAAUUCAUGUUCGUGGACAGCAUCGGGCCGAAUGAAACACGUUGAGUAUAUGUGGAAUCAAUGCAUGUGCAAGCAUCAAGGAUGUGAGGGAGUCGGAUUGGAGAUGGGAGUGCUGAUGCUCUAUGCUUGAGCCCUAUGUUUAAAGUCUGAGUUUGAAUUUGGAAAUUGCGGAUUUGAAAUGAUGUUGAAUUGUUUGUGGUAGAGACAUUAUGUUUUGAUAUGGCAAGUUACUGGAACUGCAAAAGCACCCCCCGCCCCCCGAUAAUCUGAAGAUGAUAUUGGGGAAACUUAGUAUACCACCUUAUUGGGUGGAUAUCGGGGGCUUUGGAGAUGCUCUUAUACUUUGAAGGGGUGUCCUAAUUUUGUUCUUUAGAUAUUUAAAUCUUUUUUAUGUGUAUCCUGGUUUUUUUAUACAUGCCAGCUAGUGGUUGUUCGGAGGUGCACAUGUCAAAGCGAAAAUGGACAAUCAAUUUUCUGGAAAGGGAUUUGUAGCAUGCAGGUGCGGGGGUACGAAACCUCUUUUUCUCUGGCUUUCUUUUCUAUCUUUUAAGCCAAAUAUCCAAAUAAAAUUUUGUAUUCAUAUCCGUGUUUCUGAUGAGGAGGGCUUUCAAAUUAGAUCAAUUUUGAAUACAUCUUGGCGAGUUUUAAAAAACAUCGUUAAGUUUCAACUUCUGAAACUUGAUACAAGCUUCUGAUAAAAACUUAAGUUUCAGAACUUGCGACUGAUGACUUCUGAAACUUGGUAUGAGUGGACGACAAAAUCGAAAGUUUCAGAACCGCGACCGAUAAAAUCGUAAGUUUUAGAAGCUAAAAUUUACAGCUUGUUGUGCACUCGCACUAGUAGAAAAAGAGGCUUCCAUACGCCCCCAUUAGUCCCCAAAAUAAUCGAACCGGGACUAAAGGGGUCUUUAGUCGCGGUUCGGGAGGAGACCCGCGACCAACUAUCUGGGCCCAGCGCGCUCGGUCGACAGCUGGCGGACGGGAGGGGCUUUAGUACUGGUUGGCCUGGCCAACCGGGACUAAAGGUCCUCAGGCUGGCCCGAAGGCCUUUAGUCGCGGUUGGCCAGACCAACCGGGACUAAAGGUUAGUCCUUUAGUCGCGGUUGGCCAGACCAACCGGGACUAAAGGUUAGUCCUUUAGUCGCGGUUGGCCAGACCAACCGGUACUAAAGGGACCAUCAAACUCCCCCCCCGGAGCGCCUUUUCAGUUUUAGAAAAACCAAAAGAAAAUGAUGGAAAUGUCAAAAAAAUAAAAUAAAAUAAGUUUCUCAUGUGAUAUGUGGUCUAGUUGUUGGGAAAAUUAACAAAUAUGAAUUUCGACUUUAUUUGCAAAAUCUCUCUGGAAUUUCUUAAAAUGGGCAUAACUUUUGCAUACGAACUCGGAUGAAACAGUUUUUUAUAUGAAAAAUCAUCUACUCGAGAAGUUACAUCCGAAUUUAAAUAGACCAAUAAAUCUCUCUGGAAUCUCUCUGGAGGUUUCUUGGUUAAAACAGACCAAUAAAUGGUCGAGUGUGCCACAACGUGCAAACGGUGUCGAAAGUCAUUCAAACUUGACAUGGAUGCCUCACAAUGGCAUGCCCACCUGCUUACAGAAGUUGAGAUCAUUUCAAAGAUGUCCAAAAAUGAACCAUCUUCAACGAAUGGUGUUUGGGUAGGCGACAAGGGUCUGGUUGAAAGCACGUUGUUUUUUGAUAUCUACCAACUUGUUUGUAUUUUCGACAAGUUUUGCAUUUUUGUGGAGUUUUUGUGUGAAAAAAGGCCAAUAAAUGGCUAGGCGUAACGCAACGUGCAAACGGUAUCGAAAGUCAUUCAAACCUGACAUGGAUGCCUCAUAUGUCCGUGCAAGAUUGUUGCAAGAAGUUGGGGUCAUUUAUCCAUAGUGCAGAAAAACAACAGAGGAGAGGAGUAUGUCACACUAGGCCAGACAGGUGCAUCCGUGAGCAUGUUGUUUUCUAGAUUUGAAUUCUUCUGUUAUUUGCAAUUUUUGUCAUUAUCUAUCAACAUGAAAAUUUUCUUAUGUCCUAAUCAUUUCUUGAAAUUAGUCCACAAUUUUGGAAUUUCAAAUUGUGCAUGAAAAUUUUACAAACUUGAACACUUUUUCCAAAAUUCUUAACAAAUUCCCAACAAUAGAUGAAAAUUUUGAAGACAUAUUGCAAUCCACUUAAUUUUAUUUAAUAAUUUAUCAUUUUUUUAAACACAAACAUUUCUUAAAUUUGUGAACAAAAAACCAAAAAACUAGAACAUUUCUUGAAAUUUUAGGUUUUUUUAUGUCAUAGAAAAUAUUUGAAAACAAGAAUAUGUUUUGUUAUUCCAAAUAAUAAUUAAUAAUAAAUUUUUAAAAAGAGAAAAAUGAAUUAUAAGAAAAAAAGAGAAUAAAAACUAAAUAAUAGAUAGAAAAAAAUCACUUAGGCCUCGGCCUUGGCCCGUCGGGUGCCUGUUGAACCGUUCCUAGCGUUACUUUUCUGUUUCUUUUUCGUUUUUUCCUGUUCCUCUUUUCCUUUUCUCUCAUUUUUCCAAUUUCUUUUUUACGUUUUCCUAUUUUAUUUUUCUUUUUUAUUGCCUUUCGUUUUCAUUUUUCCUUUUUUCAUGCUUACUUUAUUUUCACCAAUUUUUCAGAAAUUCUAAAUGAUGUUUGCAUUUUUUUCAAAUUUGUUUAAUUCUCUAAAGCUAUGUUCCUAUUUUGAAAUUUUGUUCAGAAAUUCCAAGAAAAGUAUAAAAUUUCAAGACAUGUUAGCUUCUUUUUAAAAAAAUGUCUGAAAUAUAGAAAAUACUCCCUCCGUCCCAUAAUAUAAGAAUGUUUUUGAUACUAGUGUAGUGUCAAAAACGUUCUUAUAUUAUGGGACAGAGGGAGUAGAACCUAAAAAGUUGUUAACUUCUUUCAAAAAAGUUCAAAAAUUGAAAAAAAACAUAUACUUCGAAAUAUCAAAAAAUUUUGAAUUUUUUCUCACAAAUUAAAAAACUUUCGGAAAUUUAAAAAUUGUUACCUUUUCCAAAUUAUUUUCGCCAAUUUAUUAAAGGUGUAAGGUUUGCAAAGAAAGAAACUACAAAUGCAAAAAAAGUUUAGCGAAUUUCACAAAAUGUUUGUGUUUUCAAAAUUUUGUUCAUAAUCUAAAAAAUGACCAUGUUUUCAAUUUUGUUCCGAUUCUCAAAAUAUAUUCACGUUGUCAAAAAAUUGUUUGUAAUUCCAAACUAUUUGUGUUUUCAAUUUUGUUUUUGUUUUUCGCAAAAAUAGUUUUUUAGAUUCUCAAAAAAAUUCGGGUUUUCACAAAAUUUAAAAAGUGUUCAGCUUUUGAAAACAAUUUAUAAAUUAUUUUAAAAAAUUUGUUCUCAGAGUCGCUAGCGCCACUAAUUCUUAUAAAUUUGCAUAGGUCAUUAGUCACUUGGACUUGCUAGCACCACCUGCUUUAUUCUCCCUAUAACAUGUGUGUGCUCUGCGGUUUGAUUCAUGUGAGGUCUAGGGUUUGAUUCCCGGGCAUACUUUUUUUAUUACGUUUAUUUCGCCCCAAAGAGGUGUUCUUGCACAGCGUUGCCGAUGGGUCGUCUCAUAUGUACUCGCACUAGUAGAAAAAGAGGCUUCCAUACGCCCCCAUUAGUCCCCAAAAUAAUCGAACCGGGACUAAAGGGGUCUUUAGUCGCGGUUCGGGAGGAGACCCGCGACCAACUAUCUGGGCCCAGCGCGCUCGGUCGACAGCUGGCGGACGGGAGGGGCUUUAGUCCCGGUUGGCCUGGCCAACCGGGACUAAAGGUCCUCAGGCUGGCCCGAAGGCCUUUAGUCGCGGUUGGCCAGACCAACCGGGACUAAAGGUUAGUCCUUUAGUCGCGGUUGGCCAGACCAACCGGGACUAAAGGUUAGUCCUUUAGUCGCGGUUGGCCAGACCAACCGGUACUAAAGGGCCCAUCAAACUCUCCCCCCCCGGUGGACCGCCUUUUCAGUUUUAGAAAAACCAAAAGAAAAUGAUAGAAAUGUCAAAAAAAUAAAAUAAAAUAAGUUUCUCAUGUGAUAUGUGGUCUAGUUGUUGGGAAAAUUAACAAAUAUGAAUUUCGACUUUAUUUGCAAAAUCUCUCUGGAAUUUCUUAAAAUGGGCAUAACUUUUGCAUACGAACUCGGAUGAAAAAGUUUUUUAUAUGAAAAAUCAUCUACUCGAGAAGUUACAUCCGAAUUUAAACAGACCAAUAAAUCUCUCUAGAAUCUCUCUGGAGUUUUCUUGGUUAAAACAGACCAAUAAAUGGUCGAGCGUGCCACAACGUGCAAACGGUGUCGAAAGUCAUUCAAACUUGACAUGGAUGCCUCACAAUGGCAUGCCCACCUGCUUACAGAAGUUGAGAUCAUUUCAAAGAUGUCCAAAAAUGAACCAUCUUCAACGAAUGGUGUUUGGGUAGGCGACAAGGGUCUGGUUGAAAGCACGUUGUUUUUUGAUAUCUGCCAACUUGUUUGUAUUUUUGACAAGUUUUGCAUUUUUGUGGAGUUUUUGUGUGAAAAAAGGCCAAUAAAUGGCUAGGCGUAACGCAACGUGCAAACGGUAUCGAAAGUCAUUCAAACCUGACAUGGAUGCCUCAUAUGUCCGUGCAAGAUUGUUGCAAGAAGUUGGGGUCAUUUAUCCAUAGUGCAGAAAAACAACAGAGGAGAGGAGUAUGUCACACUAGGCCAGACAGGUGCAUCCGUGAGCAUGUUGUUUUCCAGAUUUGAAUUCUUCUGUUAUUUGCAAUUUUUGUCAUUAUCUAUCAACAUGAAAAUUUUCUUAUGUCCUAAUCAUUUCUUGAAAUUAGUCCACAAUUUUGGAAUUUCAAAUUGUGCAUGAAAAUUUUACAAAUUUGAACACUUUUUCCAAAAUUCUUAACAAAUUCCCAACAAUAGAUGAAAAUUUUGAACACAUAUUGCAAUCCACUUAAUUUUAUUUAAUAAUUUAUCAUUUUUUUAAACACAAACAUUUCUUAAAUUUGUGAACAAAAAAUCAAAAAACUGGAACAUUUCUUGAAAUUUUAGGUUUUUUUAAGUCAUAGAAAAUAUUUGAAAACAAGAAUAUGUUUUGUUAUUCCAAAUAAUAAUUAAUAAUAAAGUUUUAAAAAGAGAAAUAUGAAUUAUAAGAAAAAAAGAGAAUAAAAACUAAAUAAUAGAUAGAAAAAAAUCGCUUAGGCCUCGGCCUUGGCCCGUCGGGUGCCUGUUGAACCGUUCCUAGCGUUACUUUUCUGUUUCUUUUUCGUUUUUUCCUGUUCCUCUUUUCCUUUUCACUCAUUUUCCAAUUUCUUUUUUACGUUUUCCUAUUUUCUUUUUCUUUUUUAUUGCCUUUCGUUUUCAUUUUUCCUUUUUCCAUGCUUACUUUAUUUUCACCAAUUUUUCAGAAAUUCUAAAUGAUGUUUGCAUUUUUUUCAAAUUUGUUUAAUUCUCUGAAACUAUGUUCCUAUUUUGAAAUUUUGUUCAGAAAUUCCAAGAAAAGUAUAAAAUUUCAAGACAUGUUAGCUUCUUUUUAAAAAAAUGUCUGAAAUAUAGAAAAUACUCCCUCCGUCCCAUAAUAUAAGAAUGUUUUUGAUACUAGUGUAGUGUCAAAAACGUUCUUAGGGACAGAGGGAGUAGAACCUAAAAAGUUGUUAACUUCUUUCAAAAAAGUUCAAAAAUUGAAAAAAAAACAUAUACUCCGAAAUAUCAAAAAAGUUUGAAUUUUUUCUCACAAAUUAAAAAACUUUCGGAAAUUUAAAAAUUGUUACCUUUUCCAAAUUAUUUUCGCCAAUUUAUUAAAGGUGUAAGGUUUGCAAAGAAAGAAACUACAAAUGCAAAAAAAGUUUAGCGAAUUUCACAAAAUGUUUGUGUUUUCAAAAUUUUGUUCAUAAUCUAAAAAAUGACAAUGUUUUCAAUUUUGUUCCUAUUCUCAAAAUAUAUUCACGUUGUCAAAAAAUUGUUUGUAAUUCCAAACUAUUUGUGUUUUCAAUUUUGUUUUUGUUUUUCACAAAAAUAGUUUUUUAGAUGCUCAAAAAAAUUCGGGUUUUCACAAAAUUUAAAAAGUGUUCAGCUUUUGAAAACAAUUUAUAAAUUAUUUUAAAAAAUUUGUUCUCAGAGUCGCUAGCGCCACUAAUUCUUAUAAAUUUGCAUAGGUCAUUAGUCACUUGGACUUGCUAGCACCACCUGCUUUAUUCUCCCUAUAACAUGUGUGUGCUCUGCGGUUUGAUUCAUGUGAGGUCUAGGGUUUGAUUCCCGGGCAUACUUUUUUUAUUACGUUUACUUCGCCCCAAAGAGGUGUUCUUGCACAGCGUUGCCUAUGGGUCGUCUCAUAUGUACAGGCUGCGUAUCGGUGGGGGCAUGGAGAGUUCUCCUCAUUGAUGUNNNNNNNNNNNNNNNUAUUCUCCCUAUAACAUGUGUGUGCUCUGCGGUUUGAUUCAUGUGAGGUCUAGGGUUUGAUUCCCGGGCAUACUUUUUUUAUUACGUUUACUUCGCCCCAAAGAGGUGUUCUUGCACAGCGUUGCCUAUGGGUCGUCUCAUAUGUACAGACUGCGUAUCGGUGGGGGCAUGGAGAGUUCUCCUCAUUGAUGUGUUUAGGGGGGGGGCGGGGGGUUGUGCCGAAGCAGAACCUAGGUAGCUCUUGGUUGAUGAAUCAAGAAGAUGCUUACCUAUUCAUUUGUUGAAAACUGCCUGCGUGGAUCGGUGGUAUUGUAACUCCUGUCCGACGAACAUCAAAUUGCUCGAGCUGCUGUUGGAGGAGGAAGCAUCGGUCAGGCCUCCACAGGAAGGCCUGUGGCGGCUAGAGUCGUGUGUGAUAUGCCCCUAGGUUAAUUUUGUGGGAUUGAUUUGCGGCUAGGUUGAUCGCUCAUGUCAAUGUGUGCGGGCCCACACGAGGGAAAUGGAAAUUCCACUAAUUCAGGGAAUCAUUGAUUUACUUACCCGCUACUACACCUACACGUACAUGCAUGUUGCAUCUAAAUUAGUGCAGGAUCAUGCUUCACGGGCCAGACCAGGAGACAACAUACACUGUCCUUGUGGGAUUCCAUGGACAUGUUGGUGGCAUACCGGCAUCUUACUCGGGCAAUGCGGUGCGGAACGUUACCACCAAGUCCACCACCGGCGAUAUCAUGGGCAAGGGUUUAGGCUACAACCCCUUUUUUACAGGAUCUGAGGACGAUUGUGGCAUGCAGCCACAAUACAAAGCGAGGUUUAGUGAUCUUCCAGCCCAACUUCGCGAGGGGGGUCAUUCGGGCAUGGAUUUUAUGCUUAUGUGUAUGAAUACCGGAGUGGCUGGUUACUCAACCUAGUCCAACAUUGCCACUGUGAAUAAUCAAACAAAUAGACAAGCAAUCCUCGAGUUCUGAUGUCUCUCAAGCCUACGCGAAUUGAGCUGCUAAAACAUUUGGCCUUUGCUCGACGUUUUUGUCUCUCCUCUUCCAUUCAUUCCUCUGUUUUGAGUAUUACAUACUGUGGUAGCCAGCACCAUGUUUGCUCUACACUACCUUUUAUAGCACGGUUUCGGUACCAUGUCGCGUGUACAACAAAGUUUAUUAUUUCUCUACCGUGGUCAUGGACGGGGCAGCCAGCGAGCAUGUGACACAUCUGAGAAAAGAUAAAGAGAAUAGAGAUGCCAUCAUUUAAGAGUACUCGCUAGUAAUAGUUACUCUGCAAAUGUAACAUGUGCAUGUUCACUAGUAGAAAAAGGAUAAUCUGUCCCGGUUGGUAAGGGCCUUUUGUCCCGGUUGUUGAACCGGGACUAAAGGGUCGUUACUAAUGCCCUAGCCCUUUAGUCCCGGUUCUUACACGAACCGGGACAGAUGGGCCUCCACGUGGCCGCUGCGGCCAGCCCAGGUAGGAGGGCCUUUGGUCCCGGUUGGUGACACCAACCGGGACCAAAAGGCAUCCACGCGUUAGCAUUUCAGUGGCUGGGGUUUUUUUGUUUUUUUUAANNNNNNNNNNGAAACCUCUUUUUCUCUGGCUUUCUUUUCUAUCUUUUAAGCCAAAUAUCCAAAUAAAAUUUUGUAUUCAUAUCCGUGUUUCUGAUGAGGAGGGCUUUCAAAUUAGAUCAAUUUUGAAUACAUCUUGGCGAGUUUUAAAAAACAUCGUUAAG
This 8881-nucleotide long non-coding RNA is filed under the name Triticum aestivum (bread wheat). Its description in RNAcentral is "long non-coding RNA (TAES_LNC009421)". The stretch from base 3607 to 3693 matches the Rfam family "MIR1120/MIR1122 microRNA precursor family". The record is from RNAcentral. Lineage: Eukaryota; Viridiplantae; Streptophyta; Magnoliopsida; Poales; Poaceae.